This 450-nucleotide ribosomal RNA is filed under the name uncultured bacterium. RNAcentral's name for it is "bacterial SSU rRNA". It matches the Rfam family "Bacterial small subunit ribosomal RNA", at positions 335 to 796 of the family's 1533-position model. The record is from RNAcentral.
ACUCCUACGGGAGGCAGCAGUGGGGAAUCUUGGACAAUGGGCGCAAGCCUGAUCCAGCCAUGCCGCGUGAGUGAUGAAGGCCCUAGGGUCGUAAAGCUCUUUCGCCAGGGAUGAUAAUGACAGUACCUGGUAAAGAAACCCCGGCUAACUCCGUGCCAGCAGCCGCGGUAAUACGGAGGGGGUUAGCGUUGUUCGGAAUUACUGGGGCGUAAAGCGCGCGUAGGCGGACUGGAAAGUUGGGGGUGAAAUCCCGGGGGCUCAACCUCGGAACUGCCUCCAAAACUCCCAGUCUUGAGUUCGAGAGAGGUGAGUGGAAUUCCGAGUGUAGAGGUGAAAUUCGUAGAUAUUCGGAGGAACACCAGUGGCGAAGGCGGCUCACUGGCUCGAUACUGACGCUGAGGUGCGAAAGUGUGGGGAGCAAACAGGAUUAGAUACCCUGGUAGGAUAGCC